CUGUUGUUGGGUGGAGAGCAGAAUGAUAAAGCUAAACCUCUGACAUUUAGCUAUCCAGGAAACUGCAGAAUGAGAGUUAAGCACCUCGCUCUUCUCUAAGCAAUGAAUGAACACAGAAACAUUCAAUGGCUUGAAGCUGCCAUUGGCAUGACCAUCAUUGCAUUUGCUGCGCUCAUCGUCUUUAUAUGUUGCUGCUAUUUCCGGAAGAAAAUAGAUGCAUGUGUCGAUAGUCUGCACAGUACCAAAAGUCAUGAGCAUGGAGAGAUUAAACAGGAAGAAGAACAUACACCAGAGAUUGGUUCUGUGGAGUACCUGGAGUUAAGCUGGCCAGCUUCUUAGAACAAGGAUCCCAUAAGAUUGUCAACGUGUUGCUUGUUGAUUAUCACAUGCAAUUUCAGAGCACUCUCUACAUGUGACUAUAAUGUAUCUGUAAGCUCCUCAAUGGACGACCACUGGGAGACUGGAUGACAUCUGUUUCCAUCAGAGCUUCACCAAUAAGACGUUUCUACAGUCUCCUUCAUUCUCCUAACAUGUUCUAACACCUCUGGAACACUUUUGAUUUAGUAUAUACUUGAAAAUAAACUGUAUGAUGACUCUGCAUUCUGGUAUUUUUGAAAGAUUUGCAUUUUACAAAACAAUGUGUUUACUUCAUGAUAAUGGAAAAUACUACAUAUGUUUUAAAAUACCUUAACAGCUUAAGGAAAUGAGAUGAAAGUACUUUGUUACUUAGUUGCAGCAAGAGUCAUUAUUUUAUCAAAGUUGUUUCCAUUAGUUAAAAUAUUAAAGUACAUAGCAGGAACUGUUACAGUUUUGAUUCCCAGUCUUUUCAUUGUAUAUAUGGAGCUUGCUUGUUGUCUCUGUGGUUUUCCUCCCACAUCCCAUAAAGGUGUUUUUAAUGGAAUUUAAGGCUUUAAUUUAGCCACAGUAUGGAUAUAAGUCUGUGUGUGUGCAAUGUGAUGGUAUAGCUCUCCUACAGAGAGAGGUUAGGAGCAUGCGACUGUGCUGUUCUCAGACUCCUUGCGACCUUUAAGAAAAAGAUUUAGAGCUGGAUCAAGAGUGUGCUGCUACCAUCAUGUCUCUGUGGUUUAUUGGUACACAGCUGACAGACAUAACUUCAUCAGUAUACAGUCACAUGUACAGCAAUUGUUGACCUUUUCAAAAUAUAUGUACAGGCAAAUAUUUUUAUGUAAACACUGUCUGUAAAUAAAUGUGAUAUAGUUUAAUAAAAACACAAGGAAAAUUUGACUUUUCAAUAAUUUAUUCAACAUAAAUAUUAACAGAUGUUAAUGAGGAGAAACCUCUGUAAGUACAUCCUUAUCCUCAGAAGUUGGUAUCGCUCCCUUUAGCAUAGGCAUAACUGCCCACUGGUCUUGGACAUCAUCUCUGAAAUUUUUGACCGCUUCUCCAUGCAAAAUUCCUUCAGUUGCAAAAUGUUUGUGGAUUUUCUUGAGUGUACCUUCCUAUUUUAAAUCCCUCCUCAACUUUUCCAUGGGAUUCACAUCAGUGUUUUGAUUAGGCCAUUCCAUAACUCUCUAUUUGCUAGCGUGCUUCAGAUCAUUAUCACAUUUGAAGGUCCAUUUUCAAGUUCAGUUUCAACUUUUGGACCUAAUGCCAUUACUUUCCUCUCAAACUUAUUUUGAUAUGAUGCAGAAUUCAUGGUUGACUCUAUAACUACAAGCUGCCCGUGCCCUGUGGCAGCAAACCAUAACAUUUCCACCACCGUGUUUCACAGUUGGUAUGAGGUUCUUCUCCUAAAAUGCUGCACUUGUAACUAAACAACUCUGUCUUUGAUUUAUCUGUCUAAAGCACUUUGUUCCAGAAGGUCUGGUCUUUGCCAAGAUGUUCAAUGGCAAAUUGUAAUCUUGCUCUAAUUUUCUUUUUGGUCAGUAAAGGAAUUUUGAUGGCUCACCUCGGAUGCAGGUCAUAUUUGUGCAAUCUUUUUCUGAAUGUAGAUGCAAGCUCUUUGACACCAACUUUUGCAAACGUUACCCGCACAGCCCACAAUGAAAUGUUGGGUGUCAUGCUUCAGCAGGCAUUUCUCCCCUGGCUGGGGUUCAAAGAUGUGUUUGUCUGUUUUGUUUAAUUUUGUACCAUUUAUUUGUGUCAUUGUUUAUUAUUAUUAUUAUUGUCUUGGUAGAGUUCUAUAUUACUCUGCUUUCCCCUUUUGCAUUCUUUAUUGUGUAGCCUUUGUCAGAAUGCCUCAAAUCCCAUAGACUUAACCCUAUUUAUAAGGUAUUGUACUUUUUAACUUCUGCCCACUUUCCCUUCUACAUUUAUAACCUCAGGCAAUUAGAUAGAGUAAAAGGACAAGCAGGAGUUAAGUUACAAUUUUAAAUAAUGCAUUAUUGAGAAUAUUCAUAAAAUAAUAACAAUAAGCAAAGUACAAGUGAAUAUUGGCAACCAUACAACCUGAUAAAUGCUGAUGUGUAGUUUCAGACAGCACACAGACUUUUUACUUGCAUGUCUUUAGUUAAGUCAUCAUUUCUAGUUUUCUUCAGGACAGGCCGCACACCUGUCUCAAUAUGGCUACUGAGCUGUCCUUUUCACGGUAAUAGUGUAAGAGAGAGAGGGAGGGGGUAAAGCAACUGAAUUUAUACAUUCUCUGUACAAAUCCUACGGCCAGAAUGGCUUCUGACUCGGAACUUAAACAGGCAACUUUAGACCAAUGGAAUUCUGGUGUGACACAUCCCCCAGUUACUGGCUUAUUUUCACACCUGCCCCCAAAAAAGAUUUGUUGAAUGAAGCUUGCUUGCGAGGUAGUUUGGCUUUCCUGUGGGGGUUGAUUGAGAGAGACCUGCAGAGAAUCACUU
Molecule: long non-coding RNA, 2810 nt
Organism: Erpetoichthys calabaricus (reedfish)
Lineage: Eukaryota; Metazoa; Chordata; Cladistia; Polypteriformes; Polypteridae
Exons: 4
Source: RefSeq, a predicted model, not a curated record